UCCAGACUCCUACGGGAGGCAGCAGUGGGGGAUAUUGCACAAUGGGGGAAACCCUGAUGCAGCGACGCCGCGUGGGUGAAGAAGCGCCUCGGCGCGUAAAGCCCUGUCAGCAGGGAAGAAAAUGACGGUACCUGCAAAGGAAGCACCGGCUAACUCCGUGCCAGCAGCCGCGGUAAUACGGAGGGUGCGAGCGUUAAUCGGAAUUACUGGGCGUAAAGCGCUCGUAGGCGGUAUGUCAAGUCAAGGGUGAAAUACCCGCGCUCAACGUGGGAACUGCCUUUGAAACUGGCAAACUGGAGUGUGUGAGAGGAUAGUGGAAUUCCAGGUGUAGGAGUGAAAUCCGUAGAUAUCUGGAGGAACAUCAGUGGCGAAGGCGACUAUCUGGCACAUAACUGACGCUGAGGAGCGAAAGCGUGGGUAGCAAACAGGAUUAGAUACCCGCGUAAG
Molecule: ribosomal RNA, 447 nt
Filed under: uncultured bacterium
Lineage: Bacteria
Description: partial 16S ribosomal RNA
Rfam family: Bacterial small subunit ribosomal RNA
Source: RNAcentral